This is a long non-coding RNA of Homo sapiens (human), 721 nucleotides long. Ensembl annotates it as GPRC5D and HEBP1 antisense RNA 1. Its record names the gene GPRC5D-AS1. The record is from Ensembl. NCBI's taxonomy places the organism in Eukaryota, Metazoa, Chordata, Mammalia, Primates, Hominidae.
AAACAUACACACACCCCUGAUUCCAGAAACACAACAGGAGCUGACUCAAAAGCAUUCUAUUCAUCUAAAAGCACCGGUAAUUAACGAUGCUAAUAAAUGUAUAAUCCCUUUGUAAACAUCUCUUCACAAGGUCAUAAAGAAGGAAGACUGAAUGAAGGACGCCAGGCUUUCAUUUUAGAAUUAAUUUUGUCAUUGAAUGCACUCACUGCAUUAUUUGAUAGAGUACUUUUGCAUUUGAAGUAGUACAUUUGCCUUCUACCAUCUCAUUAACAUUGCUUUCAACAGAAUCAGAAAUAACACAAACCACUGCAGGGUAAUUUUGAAUGCUCAUUUGACUAUGCAGUGACAUCAAGUGGCGAGUUGAGGAAUGAUCAUAUGCUGUGUGAGAACUCCGUGUUAAAAAUUCCAUGGAGCCAGGCUAGACACCACAUUUGGCACUUUCAGCUGUUUAGAUUUCAGAGAAUUAAAAGGAAAUGGUCACCGACCUGCCUUUGAUAGUACCCGUAUACCCCUUCCCACCAUAAGAAACCAGCGUUCCUUAGAGAAAUGGCUAAUUCUAGCUCUAGGGCAAGAAAUGCUAAGAUGUGCUCAAAACAUCUCAUUAUACCAGCAAGCCAGGGAGCCAUCAACGACUACUGGAGCUGUGUCAAAAGGACCAACAAACCAACUUGAAGAGGCUCCCGCUGGCCAACAGUGGGGCAAUUAGAGCAUCAAUAAGAAU